Molecule: ribosomal RNA, 496 nt
Filed under: uncultured bacterium
Lineage: Bacteria
Description: partial 16S ribosomal RNA
Rfam family: Bacterial small subunit ribosomal RNA
Source: RNAcentral
GAUGAACGCUGGCGGCGUGCCUAAUACAUGCAAGUCGAGCGAACGGACGAGAAGCUUGCUUCUCUGAUGUUAGCGGCGGACGGGUGAGUAACACGUGGAUAACCUACCUAUAAGACUGGGAUAACUUCGGGAACCGGAGCUAAUACCGGAUAAUAUUUUGAACCGCAUGGUUCAAAAGUGAAAGACGGUCUUGCUGUCACUUAUAGAUGGAUCCGCGCUGCAUUAGCUAGUUGGUAAGGUAACGGCUUACCAAGGCAACGAUGCAUAGCCGACCUGAGAGGGUGAUCGGCCACACUGGAACUGAGACACGGUCCAGACUCCUACGGGAGGCAGCAGUAGGGAAUCUUCCGCAAUGGGCGAAAGCCUGACGGAGCAACGCCGCGUGAGUGAUGAAGGUCUUCGGAUCGUAAAACUCUGUUAUUAGGGAAGAACAUAUGUGUAAGUAACUGUGCACAUCUUGACGGUACCUAAUCAGAAAGCCACGGCUAACUACGUG